AAGAUGUCCAUCAAAAACAUG
Molecule: small nuclear RNA, 21 nt
Filed under: Arabidopsis thaliana (thale cress)
Lineage: Eukaryota; Viridiplantae; Streptophyta; Magnoliopsida; Brassicales; Brassicaceae
Description: snRNA_15323
Source: RNAcentral